UCAUGGGAUAACAAUUAAUAACACUAGCUCAAUUGGUAAAAAGAAAAGAGCACCUUGAAGCGUCAGAACACGAACGAAACCUCAUUGCGAUGGUAGAAGCAACAGAAAUAGGAUCUCUCUUGCCUAUUUAGUUUCAGGAAUUUUUUCCUGCGGUAUUUAGCCCUCGAUGGUCUCAGAGUCUUUUGAGCUCAACUUCUACACUCCAUUAGGACGUAUUUGCCUUUGAAGAAAAACUUUUUGCUUAUUCUUUCGCUUUUUUGCUCUGUUUGAGCAAAAUAAAUGGUGGACAUAGGUGAAGAAGACUUGUGACGUGCCCAGCUUUACAAGCAGGAGAAUGGGAUCAAAAGUAAAAUGGCAGAGAAAUAUCAGUCGCGGAAAACAAAGAAAGAAUCCCAUUUAAAGGACAUUUCAGUUCAUUGCAGAAUUUUUCGAGUGUUUUUCUUUGCGCGGCAGAAGUCUUCCUAGGGAUCGUAUUACUCAAUCAAUGAUGGACCAGCCUUUUUGUUAACCCAAGUUGAUCACAAAUCUAGCAAAGAUGAACUAUGGCCGAGAAGAGGAACAGGGAAACUAGAACACGUGGAACGUCGACCCUGGAGUGAAGUAUCAGCUCGGUCAUGCAUGCCCGGCAGACGGUAUGCUCUGCUUUGUGGUGGGGGCUGGAUACUUGAAAUGACUGUUCUUGAGAACUUUUUCUUUUCUUUUGCUCUGAAACCAGUCAUCUUUUAGCCAAACAUUUUAUGGCGUUCAACUGAUCUCAGAAAAGCGUAUGUAAGGUGUUGACUUAAGUUCUCUGAGUUUUUUUUAAAGUUUUAGGGGGCCUGUUCUAGAGGAACUAGCCAUUAAAAAGUUUAACUCACAUCAAAUAUUCAACCAAUUAGCGCCAAUUAAAUAUUUGAAUUAGGCUUGUUUACCGAAGGCUUUAUUAGAAAGCUUUUCGUUGUUAUAGAAGUCACGGUGGAUAUUAAGACUUAAAGAAUUUGAGGACUCCCUACUAAAAACUGGUUACUAAAGGGAUUGUAAAGCACGUCA
This is a long non-coding RNA of Pocillopora damicornis (cauliflower coral), 1029 nucleotides long. RefSeq lists it as uncharacterized. Lineage: Eukaryota; Metazoa; Cnidaria; Anthozoa; Scleractinia; Pocilloporidae. The record is from RefSeq and is a predicted model, not a curated record.